GACCAAAAAUCAGAAAGCUACAGUACAUAUAGAAAAAAAAACUCAUACAUAACAUCUUAUUAAUCAUGUUUAUACAUUUGACACAAAUGACAAGUUCAUUUUUUUUAUAGUUAAAACAUAACAAGUUGAGAGGAAAACACACAAGUGUGGUGCAGACAUCUUCAAGCAAUAGGCUUCAAUACAUACAUCUUGCAUGCAUGAGAGUUCACUGUAGCUGUCAAAUUCCCUACAAAUUUUGUCUCCAAUGUCUUGUGCUCCCAAAGGUCUCUUGCUAUUACAACGCUGUUAGGAGGGAUUCCGAUAUCAUCCCAGUUUGCUGUUAUUUCGUAUCUCUGAGGACCGCGGUUGAGAAGCACUAAAGCUACUCUAUAGCCUGAUAGAGGUCCUGCCCAGAUCUCAAGAUCACCUUCCAUUCUAACCUUUUUGCCCUGGACACCUAACUCAUCUUGAUCUACCGCGAUCACCUCCUUGUUGGCUAGAAUCUCCAUUGUAUCAUGUGAUAAAUUUCUCACAUCACAACCAAUGAUAAGGGGAGCCUUUGAAAUCGCCCAGAUACUAAAGUGAAUGAUGUAUUCAUCCUUUGUCAUCCCUCCAUUUCCAACCUCAAGCAUGUCGGGAUCAUUCCAGCCACCAGGCCUUGCAUAAUCUGCAUAAACUUCAUUCUGGUCUGCUCUAGAAAUCAUGCUUUCCCAUGUAUCACUGAUAUCGUUCGUAGUUCUCCAGCUGUUACCUAAUUUACCACCCCACAAUGCUGGAUGCAAAUCGCCCCAUUCACAAAGAUUAAAGAAGAUAGGCCUUCCAACUUUCAUUAGAGCUCUCGUCAUAACAGGGUAUCUAACAGUUGGCUUUGUUCCAUCGUGGUUGCAGUUAUCGUACUUCAAAUAAUCAAUACCCCAUGCUGCAAAAGUUGUUGCAUCUUGUUCCUCAUGACCAAGUGAACCAGGCAUUUUCUUGCUACAAGUAUAAUACCCCGCAUCCGAGUAGAUUCCCAGCUUAAGACCUUUACUAUGAACAUAGUCAGCUAAAGCUUUCAUUCCAGAAGGAAAUGUCGAGUUCUUAGCAGCAAAAUUUCCCUGAUCAUCGCGUUGAGGUUCAGCCCAGCAAUCAUCUAUGUUAACAUACUUAUAUCCGAGCUUAUCAAGACCAGUUGAAACCAACGCAUCGGCAGUUUCUCUUAUGACUUUCUCAUCAAUGUUGCAGGCAAAAUGAUUCCAACUACUCCACCCCAUAGGAGGAGUGGAGCCGAGUCCAUUAUUGAGCAAACUACGUCGUUUUACAAAUAAAUCCUCUUUCACUUUUCGCUGCUUCCGUUCCGGCCACCGCAUUUCCGCCGUCGUCCGGUGGGAGUAACCGCCAUACUCGGCGGAUAUCAGUAGACAUAAUGCAAGUAUCAGCUUAAUCCCUAAUCUUAACUCCAUUAGCUGAAUUUUGAUCCUAAUUUGUUGAAAUCUACACUUUUUUUUGUGAUUUUUUUUGGUGUUUCAGUGUACUGGUUUUUAUAAGAGCUGUUGACUACAGACUAACUCAUCCAUUGAAGGAGACAAUGAUGAUACAAUCCACGUUUUUA
Molecule: unclassified non-coding RNA, 1567 nt
Filed under: Hevea brasiliensis (rubber tree)
Lineage: Eukaryota; Viridiplantae; Streptophyta; Magnoliopsida; Malpighiales; Euphorbiaceae
Source: RNAcentral